UGCAUGUCUAAGUACAUGCCGUAUUAAGGCGAAACCGCGAAUGGCUCAUUAAAUCAGUUAUGGUUCCUUGGAUCGUACCUUACUACUUGGAUAACUGUGGCAAUUCUAGAGCUAAUACAUGCAGCAGAGCUCCGACCUUCGGGGACGAGCGCUUUUAUUAGACCAAAACCAAUCGGACCUCGCGUCCGUCUGUCGUGGUGACUCUGAAUAACUUUGGGCUGAUCGCACGGGCCCGUCCCGGCGACGUAUCUUUCAAGUGUCUGCCUUAUCAACUUUCGAUGGUAGGUUACGCGCCUACCAUGGUCGUAACGGGUAACGGGGAAUCAGGGUUCGAUUCCGGAGAGGGAGCCUGAGAAACGGCUACCACAUCCAAGGAAGGCAGCAGGCGCGCAAAUUACCCACUCCCAGAACGGGGAGGUAGUGACGAAAAAUAACAAUACGGGACUCUUUUGAGACCCCGUAAUUGGAAUGAGUACACUCUAAAUCCUUUAACGAGGAUCCAUUGGAGGGCAAGUCUAGUGCCAGCAGCCGCGGUAAUUCUAGCUCCAAUAGCGUAUAUUAAAGUUGUUGCGGUUAAAAAGCUCGUAGUUGGAUCUCAGUUCCAGACGGGUGGUCCGCCUACCGGUGGUUACUGCCUGUUCUGAACAGCCAGCCGGUUUCUCUUGAUGAUCUUCACCGGUUGUCUUGGGUGACCGGCAAGUUUACUUUGAAAAAAUUAGAGUGCUCAAAGCAGGCGUGACGCCUGAAUAAUGGUGCAUGGAAUAAUGGAAUAGGACCUCGGUUCUAUUUUGUUGGUUUUCGGAACACGAGGUAAUGAUUAAGAGGGACAGACGGGGGCAUUCGUAUUGCGACGCUAGAGGUGAAA
RNAcentral lists this ribosomal RNA (865 nucleotides) under Tengella radiata. RNAcentral's name for it is "SSU rRNA". It matches the Rfam family "Eukaryotic small subunit ribosomal RNA", at positions 52 to 916 of the family's 1831-position model. The record is from RNAcentral. Lineage: Eukaryota; Metazoa; Arthropoda; Arachnida; Araneae; Zoropsidae.